RNAcentral lists this non-coding RNA (148 nucleotides) under Homo sapiens (human). The record is from Rfam by way of RNAcentral. Lineage: Eukaryota; Metazoa; Chordata; Mammalia; Primates; Hominidae.
GCUGGGCGUGGUGGCGGGUGCCUGUAAUCCCAUCUACUCGGGAGGCUGAGGUAGGAGAAUUGCUUGAGCCCAGGAAGCAGAGGUUGCAGUGAGCCGAGACUGUGCCACUGCACUCCAGCCUGGGCAACAGAGCAAGACUCCAUCUCAA